CUUUCUCCGCCGGCGACCGGCGCACGGGUGAGUAACACGUAUGCAACCUGCCCCUGUCAGGGGGACAACCCGCCGAAAGGCGGGCUAAACCCGCGUACAUGCCACCGGGGCAUCCCGGAGGCAGGAAAGGCUUCGGCCGGACAGGGAUGGGCAUGCGGCGCAUUAGGCAGUAGGCGGGGUAACGGCCCACCUAACCGACGAUGCGUAGGGGUUCUGAGAGGAACGGUCCCCCACACUGGUACUGAGACACGGACCAAACUCCUACGGAAGGCAGCAG
Molecule: ribosomal RNA, 277 nt
Filed under: uncultured bacterium
Lineage: Bacteria
Description: partial 16S ribosomal RNA
Rfam family: Bacterial small subunit ribosomal RNA
Source: RNAcentral